RNAcentral lists this ribosomal RNA (381 nucleotides) under uncultured Anoxybacillus sp. RNAcentral describes it as "bacterial SSU rRNA". It matches the Rfam family "Bacterial small subunit ribosomal RNA", at positions 1005 to 1382 of the family's 1533-position model. Lineage: Bacteria; Bacillati; Bacillota; Bacilli; Caryophanales; Anoxybacillaceae. The record is from RNAcentral.
GUCGGGCCGUUCCCCGUUCGGGGGACGAGGGUGACAGGUGGUGCAUGGUUGUCGUCAGCUCGUGUCGUGAGAUGUUGGGUUAAGUCCCGCAGCGAGCGCAACCCUCGACCCUAGUUGCCAGCAUUCAGUUGGGCACUCUAAGGUGACUGCCGGCUAAAAGUCGGAGGAAGGUGGGGAUGACGUCAAAUCAUCAUGCCCCUUAUGACCUGGGCUACACACGUGCUACAAUGGGCGGUACAAAGGGUCGCGAACCCGCGAGGGGGAGCCAAUCCCAAAAAGCCGCUCUCAGUUCGGAUUGCAGGCUGCAACUCGCCUGCAUGAAGCCGGAAUCGCUAGUAAUCGCGGAUCAGCAUGCCGCGGUCGAAUACGUUCCCGGGCCUU